GAUGAACGCUGGCGGCGUGCCUAAUACAUGCAAGUCGAGCGAACGGGCGAGAAGCUUGCUUCUCUGAUGUUAGCGGCGGACGGGUGAGGAACACGUGGAUAACCUACCUAUAAGACUGGGAUAACUUCGGGAAACCGGAGCUAAUACCGGAUGAUAUUUUGAACCGCAUGGUUCAAAAGUGAAAGACGGUCUUGCGGUCACUUAUAGAUGUAUCCGCGCUGCAUUAGCUAGUUGGUAAGGUAACGGCUUACCAAGGCAACGAUGCAUAGCCGACCUGAGAGGGUGAUCGGCCACACUGGAACUGAGACACGGUCCAGACUCCUACGGGAGGCAGCAGUAGGGAAUCUUCCGCAAUGGGCGAAAGCCUGACGGAGCAACGCCGCGUGAGUGAUGAAGGUCUUCGGAUCGUAAAGCUCUGUUAUUAGGGAAGAACAUAUGUGUAAGUAACCGUGCACAUCUUGACGGUACCUAAUCAGAAAGCCCCGGCUAACUACGUG
RNAcentral lists this ribosomal RNA (497 nucleotides) under uncultured bacterium. RNAcentral's name for it is "partial 16S ribosomal RNA". It matches the Rfam family "Bacterial small subunit ribosomal RNA", at positions 28 to 507 of the family's 1533-position model. The record is from RNAcentral.